RNAcentral lists this ribosomal RNA (142 nucleotides) under Salmonella enterica subsp. enterica serovar Saintpaul. RNAcentral describes it as "partial 23S ribosomal RNA". It matches the Rfam family "Bacterial large subunit ribosomal RNA", at positions 2801 to 2925 of the family's 2925-position model. Lineage: Bacteria; Pseudomonadati; Pseudomonadota; Gammaproteobacteria; Enterobacterales; Enterobacteriaceae. The record is from RNAcentral.
GAGAUGAGUUCUCCCUGAGACUUAGAGUCUCCUGAAGGAACGUUGAAGACGACGACGUUGAUAGGCCGGGUGUGUAAGCGCAGCGAUGCGUUGAGCUAACCGGUACUAAUGAACCGUGAGGCUUAACCUUGCAACGCCGAAG